CCCUUAGAUGUUCUGGGCCGCACGCGCGCUACACUGACGAUGGCAACGAGUUUUUCCUUCGCCGAAAGGUGUGGGUAAUCUUUUGAAACAUCGUCGUGCUGGGGAUAGAUCAUUGCAAUUUUUGAUCUUGAACGAGGAAUUCCUAGUAAGCGCGAGUCAUCAGCUCGCGUUGAUUACGUCCCUGCCCUUUGUACACACCGCCUGUCGCUACUACCGAUUGAAUGGUUUAGUGAGGACUCCUGAUUGGCGCCGCCGCCCCGGCAACGGAGCAGCGGACUGCCGAAAAGUUGUUCAAACUUGAUCAUUUAGAGGAAGUAAAAGUCGUAACA
This 329-nucleotide ribosomal RNA is filed under the name uncultured eukaryote. RNAcentral's name for it is "partial 18S ribosomal RNA". It matches the Rfam family "Eukaryotic small subunit ribosomal RNA", at positions 1470 to 1796 of the family's 1831-position model. The record is from RNAcentral.